UUAAAUAGUAAUUUUAAUUCUUAUUAGUGUAAGUUAAGUUCUUUAAAUUAAAAAAAUUUGGCAGUAAUUUAGUCUUUUCAGAGGAAUCUGUUCUAUAAUUGAUAAUCCACGAUAAAAUUUACUUAUUUUAAGUUUGUAUAUCGUUGUAUAAGAAUAUUUUUGGAAAAUUUUAAAUAUUCUAUUUAUAUUAUAAUAUUAAAAUUCAAAUCAAGGUACAGCUUAUAAAUGAGAAGAAAUGGAUUACAUUUAUUAAUAUUUAUGAAUUAAAAUUUUUAAGGUUUUAUGAAAUUGGAUUUGAAAGUAAUUUUAUAAAUUUUUUUAAAAUGAUUAAGCUCUAAAUUAUGU
This 345-nucleotide ribosomal RNA is filed under the name Micropsephodes lundgreni. RNAcentral's name for it is "partial 12S ribosomal RNA". The record is from RNAcentral. Lineage: Eukaryota; Metazoa; Arthropoda; Insecta; Coleoptera; Endomychidae.